Acanthosepion pharaonis is the source of this 96-nucleotide non-coding RNA. NCBI's taxonomy places the organism in Eukaryota, Metazoa, Mollusca, Cephalopoda, Sepiida, Sepiidae. The record is from the annotation of a GenBank genome assembly.
UUGAAAUACCGGUUCCCGUACAAUCACCUCAGUUAAGCAAAGUCGAGCUUUAUUAGUACCUAGAUGGGUAACAGUUUAGGAAUAUCAGGUGCUGUG